Molecule: ribosomal RNA, 253 nt
Filed under: uncultured bacterium
Lineage: Bacteria
Description: partial 16S ribosomal RNA
Rfam family: Bacterial small subunit ribosomal RNA
Source: RNAcentral
UACGAAGGGGGCUAGCGUUGUUCGGAAUUACUGGGCGUAAAGCGCACGUAGGCGGAUAUUUAAGUCAGGGGUGAAAUCCCGGGACUCAACCCCGGAACUGCCUUUGAUACUGGGUAUCUCGAGUCCGAGAGAGGUGAGUGGAAUUCCGAGUGUAGAGGUGAAAUUCGUAGAUAUUCGGAGGAACACCAGUGGCGAAGGCGGCUCACUGGCUCGGUACUGACGCUGAGGUGCGAAAGCGUGGGGAGCAAACAGG